ACGACGAUGGCCCAGUUGGUUGGAGUGUGUGUUUGGGAAACUGUGGUCGCCGGUUCGAUUCCGGUCCGAUGCA
Molecule: transfer RNA, 73 nt
Filed under: Helianthus annuus (common sunflower)
Lineage: Eukaryota; Viridiplantae; Streptophyta; Magnoliopsida; Asterales; Asteraceae
Description: tRNA HanXRQr2_Chr06g0268491
Source: RNAcentral